GUCACAACUCCAGAUAUGAUCGAAAAAAUUCAUCAAAUGAAGUUUGAUAGUAUAGAAAGCUUGAUUUUGAAAUAAUUGGAUAUAAAUAAAGGAGAAGGAAGAGUAAUGAUAGAAAGUUGGCUGAACAACAGAAAGCUGGAGGAGGAAAAACAAAGAAAACUGUACAGCCCAGAACAAGGACAUAAGGUGUUAAGAAGUAGAAGAAAUAAAGGAAGAGAAUCAGGAAAAAUGGAAAGAAAAUUAUGGAAAACGAAAAAAGGGAAUUACAAGAAAGAAGAAGAUGAAAAAUUAAAACAAAAGCUACAUAAAAUGCAGGAAAAAGUAAAGGAACUGGAAGAAUGAUUUUAACUAGGACAAAAAAAUUAAAAGAAGAUUGGAGGGAAAUGGAACUAGAGGAGCUUGAGAUAGACAUGUGGUGAAACAGGUAGGGGAACAAAAUAAAAGAACAAGGAGAAUGGAUAUGGAAUUGGAAUAAAAAAGAACGGAAGAGAAGAAACUAAACCUGAUAAUUUUUGGAAUAGAAUUAGAGGAAAACAAAGCGAAGGGAUAGUUGAAAAGAGUUAUAAAAAGGUAUAUAAAGUAAAGAAAGUAUGGAAAAUUGAAAACAAACUUAAAAAGGAGUAGGGAGAAAAAAUGCAGGUGAUUAGAAACGACAGAAAACUAAGAGGGAUGGAGGUUUAAUAAGAGAUAAUAUGAUUGUGGAAGAGAGAAGAAUACAAAAGAUGCUAGAACUAAUGGUAACAGAGAGGAAAAAGAAUGUCUAUAAGUUUUGUCCGAGAAAAUAACAAAAGAUGAGGUAGUAUCGAUAAGGGACGAGGAAAAAGAAGCAAUAAAAAGAGAGAAGGUCACCGGAUGUAACUAAAUUUUAAAUCGGUGUACCUACACUGAAGACUCCAAAAACAAAUACAGGAUCGUUAGUUAAAUAAACAUGUACAGUCUAGAACACUAAUUAUUAUAGUUAAAUAUUUUUCACAUUGUAAAUAGUAUAAAUGCAUAUAUAAAUAAUGUAUCAGUAACCACAAAUAAAUAAAUAAAUGUACCAACACUUAUACACAUAAGCGAAUAUUUCAUAAGUUUGAAAUGUUAUUAUUUUCGGUGAAAUAAUGGGCACAUUGAUUUUUAAAACAGCUUUAUUAGGUGAUCACGAUAAACUAAACAAAAAAGUUAUUGGGUCGGAGGUAAAUUCAGUUCUGCCCGUUUUAGUCGUAUUUUUGUAUAUUAAAGUACACAAUAUAUGGGUGUUUUUCUUUCCUUUUUAUAUAUAUAUUCACA
Long non-coding RNA from Agrilus planipennis (emerald ash borer), 1272 nucleotides. RefSeq lists it as uncharacterized. The transcript is spliced from 3 exons. NCBI's taxonomy places the organism in Eukaryota, Metazoa, Arthropoda, Insecta, Coleoptera, Buprestidae. The record is from RefSeq and is a predicted model, not a curated record.